GGGUUCGAUUCCGGAGAGGGAGCCUGAGAAACGGCUACCACAUNCAAGGAAGGCAGCAGGCGCGCAAAUUACCCAAUCCCGACACGGGGAGGUAGUGACAAUAAAUAACANCACAGGGCUCUUUUGGGUCUUGUUAUUGGAAUGAGUACGAUUUAAAUCUCCUAACGAGGAACAAUUGGAGGGCAAGUCUGGUGCCAGCAGCCGCGGUAAUUCCAGCUCCAAUAGCGUAUAUUAAAGUUGUUGCAGUUAAAAAGCUCGUAGUUGAAUUUCAGGCCUGGCUGGACGGUCCGCCCUUCGGGUGAGUACUGUCUGUGGUCGGGUCCUACCUUCUGGCGAAGCGUCAUGGCCUUAACCGGCCGUGNCGGGGAACCAGGACUUUUACUGUGAAAAAAUUAGAGUGUUCAAAGCAGGC
Molecule: ribosomal RNA, 412 nt
Filed under: uncultured Glomeromycotina
Lineage: Eukaryota; Fungi; Glomeromycota
Description: SSU rRNA
Rfam family: Eukaryotic small subunit ribosomal RNA
Source: RNAcentral